RNAcentral lists this long non-coding RNA (610 nucleotides) under Pan troglodytes (chimpanzee). RNAcentral describes it as "lincRNA". The record is from RNAcentral. Lineage: Eukaryota; Metazoa; Chordata; Mammalia; Primates; Hominidae.
GGGCUCCCGAGUGUGGGGAGGGCGGCUCAGCAGGAGCUGCUGCUUCCCAGAAAGUUGAUUAUUUUUAACCCAGGAAGAAGAAAGGAAGGAGGCGAGGGAGAAGGACUCAGAGAAAAGAGGAGAGGAAAAGAGAGGAGAGGAGAGGAGAGAAACGGAGUCUCACUCUGUCACCAGGCUGGAGUACAGUGGUGUGAUCUCGGCUCACUGCAACCUCCGCCUCCCAGGUUCAAGCGAUUCUCCUGCCUCAGCCUCCCAAGUAGCUGAGAUUACAGACGUGUGUCACCAUGCCCUGUUAAUUUUUGUUUGUUUGUUUUGUUUUUUGUUUUGUUUUGUUUUGUUUUUUGUUUUUUUUUUGAGACGGAGUCUUGCUCUGUCGCCCAGGCUGGAGUGCAGUGGCCCCGAUCUCGGCUCACCGCAAGCUCCGCCUCGCGGGUUCAUGCCAUUCUCCGGCCUCAGCCUCCCGAGUAGCUGGGACUACAGGCAUCCGCCACCACACCCAGCUAAUUUUUUGUAUUUUUUUUAGUAGAGACGGGGUUUCACUGUGUUAGCCAGGAUGGUCUCGAUCUCCUGACCUCGUGAUCCACCCAAGGCCUCGGCCUCCCAAAGUGCU